Non-coding RNA from Arachis ipaensis, 301 nucleotides. Lineage: Eukaryota; Viridiplantae; Streptophyta; Magnoliopsida; Fabales; Fabaceae. The record is from RefSeq and is a predicted model, not a curated record.
UUCCGAUCCCCGUAACUUCUCCGUCCGAUUUCCGAUUACCGCACCGUUUGCGGUCACGCGUCCACCGCAUCGAGCUGUAUAUUUCUAUCGGAACAAUUUCACUGGAUCCAAUUAGUUUGAGAAAAACGUUCACUCUUACUUAUGUGAGGAUUAGAUAAGGUGAGGAUAUGAUAAAUCUAUUUUAAUUUUAUUAAAUUUGAGCUUUGAGAAUUAAAUUAGAUAUAUAUGUAUUAUGGAUGUGUAUUAGGUUGUGAAUAAAUAAUUGGAGCUCGAAAUUGGGAAUACUGAAACUUGGAGAAAG